GACGAACGCUGGCGGCGUGCUUAACACAUGCAAGUCGAACGGAAAGGCCCUGCUUUUGUGGGGUGCUCGAGUGGCGAACGGGUGAGUAACACGUGAGUAACCUGCCCUUGACUUUGGGAUAACUUCAGGAAACUGGGGCUAAUACCGGAUAGGAGCUCCUGCUGCAUGGUGGGGGUUGGAAAGUUUCGGCGGUUGGGGAUGGACUCGCGGCUUAUCAGCUUGUUGGUGGGGUAGUGGCUUACCAAGGCUUUGACGGGUAGCCGGCCUGGGAGGGUGACCGGCCACAUUGGGACUGCGAGAGGGCCCAGACUCCUACGGGAGGCAGCAGUGGGGAAUAUUGCACAAUGGGCGGAAGCCUGAUGCAGCAACGCCGCGUGCGGGAUGACGGCCUUCGGGUUGUAAACCGCUUUCGCCUGUGACGAAGCGUGAGUGACGGUAAUGGGUAAAGAAGCACCGGCUAACUACGUG
This 468-nucleotide ribosomal RNA is filed under the name uncultured bacterium. Its description in RNAcentral is "partial 16S ribosomal RNA". It matches the Rfam family "Bacterial small subunit ribosomal RNA", at positions 28 to 507 of the family's 1533-position model. The record is from RNAcentral.